Halichondria panicea is the source of this 2086-nucleotide long non-coding RNA. RefSeq lists it as uncharacterized. NCBI's taxonomy places the organism in Eukaryota, Metazoa, Porifera, Demospongiae, Suberitida, Halichondriidae. The transcript has 4 exons. The record is from RefSeq and is a predicted model, not a curated record.
UGUGGUGAUCCUCACUACCAAUCACAGUGACGGUCACUACCUAAGUCCUACCACAUAGCUCAAUACCAACUGUGGUGACGGUCACUACCAAAGUCCUUCACUACAUUCAACCUCCGCCAUGUCUCUAUAGUACUGUCCUAAGUCCUUCAUCACAGUGUGCAUGCAGUGGUACCUCUCACUUAACUUACUGUUCCCUGUACCUUCUCAUGUGUGAGGUCACAAGCUCCAUUAAUUAUUAUUUUAUAGAUAAUUAUAGGCAUGCAGCAUGCAAUGUGAUACUUUAAUAUUUCAUGGUGAAAGUCACAAGUUGUCAUUUUUACGGUCUAUCCUGCUACCGUCGAAGACCAAGUCAGAAGAAUACAACGGACUAUAAAUAUUCUAUAUCAGUGCAUGACGACUGUUUGGUCGGCUACUUACUAUAAUUAUAAUUAUACGAUAAUGUAAUGGUGUCUUUUUAAUAUCCACCACUGACUGUAAACUUGAAACAACAUGAAGUUUACCUAACACACUUGCGGUACACAAUUUUAAUAUUGUUCUUGUAUAGCUACAAUUGCUCCUCCCCUAACAAUGAUGACAAACUGGGACAUAAAUAAUACGACCACUCCCCACAGGUACAGACGUAAGCUUUGGUUGUAACUUUAAGGCAAUCAGCAUCAAUAAUAAUUAUGCCGUUAAAUCUAAGGGAGUGACAAACUCAGGCAGAUGCUUGAUGGAUCUAGUUUGCUGACUAAAUAUAAAGGCUGCAAAGAGGCCCCAUGGUGCCCUGAUAUCUCACUAAGCUUUUUUGCCUGAGCAGCAUUCCAUAUUCUGCAAUAAAAGAGAAGCAUGAGAUUAUUAAUCCAUAGACGUAUAAUGUUACUGCUAGCUUGAACAGUUACAAUGGCAUAUCUGCAUUCAUAUUAAGGCCAGUACACAAUAAUAAAAGAUUUUACCAAACAAAAUAAUUAACAAUUGAUUCACACACGUAUUUACAAAUACAAUUACUAGUUGAAGCGAUGUAUUAAUUGUGUAACAUCUUUGAAAAGAGGUUUCUGUACCUGGUCGAUCAACACGCAACACGACUUACUGCUAACCCGUACCAGGUAGAUCUAGAUUUAGUGGUCUAUUUUACAGAAACUGAGUCACCAAGACAUAGUCAACACGCAACCCGGCUUACUGUUAACCAUAAUUGCCUCAGUAAAACAGUUCAUGGAAUGCUUUUACUAUAAGAUGUUACACGACAUCAACAUGCUCCAUAUCUAAGCUACAUGAUUCAACACUAUUCAUCCACACACUACUAUUCCUUAUCCUUUGGUAGCAGCAAUAAUUAUAAGACUGCCAAAUGCCUUUCCUUGUCACUGAAUUGAACUGUAAUAGGAAGAUCUAGUUAGCUUGCUAGCUCCUUCCAUGGCCAUAUCCAUAUCUUCACUUGCGCGCUCUUGUUUGUUGAAUAGACCUAUGACCAAAUAAGGGCACGUGCAAUUAUGCAGCUGCAGAUUUGCAGCUGCACACAUCAACAAAAAUUUAUUUGCUGGAGUUUUUAAGGAAGCAGACAAGUUGAGCUUUUAGAGAACGCUUUGAGAGUUGUUUGACAAAACUGUGUAACUAGAACUGAAUUUCUCCUGAAGGACAAGCAAAGCGCAAGUAAACACUUCAUUAGGGCUUAAACAAGGGGAGACCAAAGCCCAUUGCCCUAAGCUUCAUUCAGCAUGCACAACACAAGAUAUGAAGUAAAAAAAAACGUGUGGAGCAACCAUACUACUGGACACCCUAAGUAUAGACAUAAAUCAAGGAGGAGGGAGGAGGUUGGGAUGUAAAGACAGCCAAGAACUGAUGAUCAACUCAAGCCAUUAGACACUGUCAUUAUUAUACUCUGUUAGGCUAGUAAGCAUAAUGCUUGUUAUUAUUUUCUGUGCACAUUUUCAGAAUUUUUGUAUAGUGAUUUUUACUAGUUCUGGUGAUGUUCACUACCUAAAUGUAGUGAUCGUCACUACUUAAAUGUAGUGAUUUGAAAAAGUGGUGAGGGUCACCAGUCGAUUUGCGGUGACUAUUGUGGCAGCCGUUUCACUACCUUUUGGUGGUGACGGUCACUUUCCAGUUUUUACAG